Molecule: ribosomal RNA, 440 nt
Filed under: uncultured bacterium
Lineage: Bacteria
Description: bacterial SSU rRNA
Rfam family: Bacterial small subunit ribosomal RNA
Source: RNAcentral
CCUACGGGUGGCUGCAGUCGAGGAUCUUCGGCAAUGGGCGCAAGCCUGACCGAGCGACGCCGCGUGCGGGAUGAAGGCCUUCGGGUUGUAAACCGCUGUCGUAGUGGAGGAAAUGCGUUAGGGUUCUCUCUAGCGUUUGACCUAUACUAGGAGGAAGUACGGGCUAAGUUCGUGCCAGCAGCCGCGGUAAGACGAACCGUACGAACGUUAUUCGGAAUUACUGGGCUUAAAGGGUGCGUAGGCGGUGUGGAAAGUUGGGUGUGAAAUACCUCAGCUCAACUGAGGAACUGCAUUCAAAACUUCCAUGCUAGAGGAAGAUAGAGGUAAGCGGAACUUAGGGUGGAGCGGUGAAAUGCGUUGAUAUCCUAAGGAACACCGGUGGCGAAAGCGGCUUACUGGAUCUUUUCUGACGCUGAGGCACGAAAGCUAGGGUAGCGAAC